GAUGAAGAACGUAGCGAAAUGCGAUAAGUAAUGUGAAUUGCAGAAUUCAGUGAAUCAUCGAAUCUUUGAACGCACAUUGCGCCCGCCAGUAUUCUGGCGGGCAUGCCUGUCCGAGCGUCAUUUCAACCCUCGAACCCCUCCGGGGGGUCGGCGUUGGGGACCUCGGGAGCCCCUAAGACGGGAUCCCGGCCCCGAAAUACAGUGGCGGUCUCGCCGCAGCCUCUCCUGCGCAGUAGUUUGCACAACUCGCACCGGGAGCGCGGCGCGUCCACGUCCGUAAAACACCCAACUUCUGAAAUGUUGUCCUCGGAUCAGGUAGGAAUACCCGCUGAACUUAAGCAUAUCAAUAAGCGGAGGA
RNAcentral lists this unclassified non-coding RNA (358 nucleotides) under soil metagenome. RNAcentral's name for it is "partial contains 5.8S ribosomal RNA, internal transcribed spacer 2, and large subunit ribosomal RNA". The stretch from base 1 to 120 matches the Rfam family "5.8S ribosomal RNA", at positions 35 to 154 of the family's 154-position model. The record is from RNAcentral.